This 449-nucleotide ribosomal RNA is filed under the name uncultured bacterium. RNAcentral describes it as "bacterial SSU rRNA". It matches the Rfam family "Bacterial small subunit ribosomal RNA", at positions 328 to 793 of the family's 1533-position model. The record is from RNAcentral.
CUCUGUGACUCCUACGGGAGGCAGCAGUGGGGAAUAUUGCACAAUGGGCGCAAGCCUGAUGCAGCAACGCCGCGUGAGCGAUGAAGGCCUUCGGGUCGUAAAGCUCUGUCCUCAAGGAAGAAUAAAUGACGGUACUUGAGGAGGAAGCCCCGGCUAACUACGUGCCAGCAGCCGCGGUAAUACGUAGGGGGCAAGCGUUAUCCGGAAUCACUGGGCGUAAAGGGUGCGUAGGCGGUUUUUCAAGUCAGAAGUGAAAGGCUAUGGCUCAACCAUAGUAAGCUUUUGAAACUGUUAAACUUGAGUGCAGAAGAGGAAAGUGGAAUUCCUAGUGUAGAGGUGAAAUUCGUAGAUAUUAGGAGGAACACCAGUGGCGAAGGCGACUUACUGGACUGUAACUGACGCUGAUGCACGAAAGCGUGGGUAGCGAACAGGAUUAGAUACCCUGGUAG